RNAcentral lists this transfer RNA (78 nucleotides) under Bacteroidota bacterium. RNAcentral's name for it is "Bacteroidetes bacterium (sediment metagenome) tRNA-Pro". It matches the Rfam family "tRNA". From Rfam's summary of the family: Transfer RNA (tRNA) molecules are approximately 80 nucleotides in length. Lineage: Bacteria; Pseudomonadati; Bacteroidota. The record is from RNAcentral.
CGGGGUGUUCCGCAGAUGGCUACACGGGCCUGCCUUGGAAGCAGGUGUUCGCAGGUUCAAAUCCUGCUACCCCGACUA